Molecule: non-coding RNA, 123 nt
Organism: Danio rerio (zebrafish)
Lineage: Eukaryota; Metazoa; Chordata; Actinopteri; Cypriniformes; Danionidae
Source: Rfam
AUACUUACCUGGCAGGGGAGAUACCAUGAUCAAGAAGGUGGUUCACCCAGGGCGAGGCUUGGCCAUUGCACUCCGGCCACGCUGACCCCUGCGAAGCCUUUGCCAAGCCUCUUUUGCUCCAGU